GACGAACGCUGGCGGCGCGCCUAACACAUGCAAGUCGAACGAGCGAGAGAGAGCUUGCUUUCUCAAGCGAGUGGCGAACGGGUGAGUAACGCGUGAGGAACCUGCCUCAAAGAGGGGAACAACAGUUGGAAACGACUGCUAAUACCGCAUAAGCCCACGGGUCGGCAUCGACCAGAGGGAAAAGGAGCAAUCCGCUUUGAGAUGGCCUCGCGUCCGAUUAGCUAGUUGGUGAGGUAACGGCCCACCAAGGCAACGAUCGGUAGCCGGACUGAGAGGUUGAACGGCCACAUUGGGACUGAGACACGGCCCAGACUCCUACGGGAGGCAGCAGUGGGGAAUAUUGCACAAUGGGGGAAACCCUGAUGCAGCGACGCCGCGUGGAGGAAGAAGGUCUUCGGAUUGUAAACUCCUGUUGUUGAGGAAGAUAAUGACGGUACUCAACAAGGAAGUGACGGCUA
This 458-nucleotide ribosomal RNA is filed under the name uncultured bacterium. RNAcentral describes it as "bacterial SSU rRNA". It matches the Rfam family "Bacterial small subunit ribosomal RNA", at positions 28 to 499 of the family's 1533-position model. The record is from RNAcentral.